Molecule: long non-coding RNA, 901 nt
Filed under: Falco tinnunculus (common kestrel)
Lineage: Eukaryota; Metazoa; Chordata; Aves; Falconiformes; Falconidae
Description: lncRNA (ENSFTIG00000011133.1)
Source: RNAcentral
GGUUAAAGCUGGGGAAUAAUGGGGCCAGGCGCAGGGGAGACCAUGGGGGGGGGAAACCUCCCCUGGCACAGCGGGCACGGCGCGAAGCAAAGCUUGCACCCCUGGCCCAGUCCCCAGGGACACCGGGUGCUCCGGCACCAGCACCCUGCGCCAAGCCCCUGCACAGGGGCCGGGGGAGCAGCUCUUGCAGCGCCCCCGUUCCCUGCGCUGCGCCAGCUGCCAGCGGGGCUGGGGACAAGCUCAGCGCACGGGGGUCUGGCCGAGCCCUUCACCCCUGAGGGUCACCACCAUGGUGGGGCUGCGCUCUGCCUGUGGGCCGUGUGCUCUGCCAGCCACAGCAUUGCACAACUGGCAAAUAUUUCAUCAUGGAGGUGGUGAGGGGCUGUGCAGGGGAGCAGGGAGGUGGCAGCGGGUGGUCUGGCGCUGCAUGGGAGGACAGGGACUGUGGCACAGGGUGGUGGCUCAAGGCACAGGUGGAAGGCAGGGGAAGGAUGUUGUUUGCAAACACAGCCCAAAUCACAGCUGCGGAUUGUGUGUCCGAACAGGGAUGGACCAGGAGAAGCUGGGGGUGACCUGGGCACGGCAGCAAUCCUGUCCCCAUCCUGGAGCAGUGGCAAAGGGGGCUGGCCGGCUAUUUGCCCAUCGGAUCCUGCUCACUGGGGUGCUCCCUGCCUGCACCUCCCUGCCCACACUCCUACCACCCGGCCAGACCUGGGGGCACUUACGCAGCCACCAAAGCAACCCUGGGCAGCAGCGGGCUUGGGCAGAACCGGUAACAGAUCUUCUCUCCACAGGUGGCGAGCAGCGGGCGCCGGCACCGGCCCCACCGACCCUGCUCAGGGUGCUUCUCCGUCCUGAGCGAGGAGUCGCGGUCAGUGUCCUGGCGUGCCAGCGAGGAUGA